Molecule: ribosomal RNA, 253 nt
Filed under: uncultured bacterium
Lineage: Bacteria
Description: partial 16S ribosomal RNA
Rfam family: Bacterial small subunit ribosomal RNA
Source: RNAcentral
UACGUAGGGUGCAAGCGUUAAUCGGAAUUACUGGGCGUAAAGCGUGCGCAGGCGGCUUUGCAAGACAGAUGUGAAAUCCCCGGGCUUAACCGGGGAACUGCGUCUGAUACUGGAUGGCUUGAGUUUGGGAGAGGGAUGCGGAAUUCCAGGUGUAGCGGUGAAAUGCGUAGAUAUCUGGAGGAACACCGGUGGCGAAGGCGGCAUCCUGGACCAAUACUGACACUGAGGAGCGAAAGCCAGGGGAGCAAACGGG